Long non-coding RNA from Oncorhynchus tshawytscha (Chinook salmon), 437 nucleotides. The record is from Ensembl. Lineage: Eukaryota; Metazoa; Chordata; Actinopteri; Salmoniformes; Salmonidae.
AGGGGGAUCUGGGGGUGAUGGACAGAUUAGUCAGGGGGAUCUGGGGGUGAUGGACAGAUUAGUCAGGGGGAUCUGGGGGUGAUGGACAGAUUAGUCAGGGGGAUCUCAGGGGGGGGGUGAUGGACAGAUUAGUCAGGGGGAUCUGGGGGUGAUGGACAGAUUAGUCAGGGGGAUCUGGGGGUGAUGAACAGAUUAGUCAGGGGGAUCUGGGGGUGAUGGACAGAUUAGUCAGGGGGAUCUGGAGGUGAUGGACAGAUUAGUCAGGGGGAUCUGGAGGUGAUGGACAGAUUAGUCAGGGGAAAUGGAGGGUGAUAGACAUAUUAGUCAAAGUGAUCUGGGGGGUGAUGGACAUGUUAGUCUUCAAACCUCCCCUUGCAAAAAAUGCAUUGAAAGUACAUUGAAAAGCUACUUAAUUAGCCUUCUUAUCGUAACCCCUU